This 987-nucleotide ribosomal RNA is filed under the name Triticum aestivum (bread wheat). RNAcentral describes it as "partial small subunit ribosomal RNA". The record is from RNAcentral. Lineage: Eukaryota; Viridiplantae; Streptophyta; Magnoliopsida; Poales; Poaceae.
AUGCAACCGACGCCACGACAAGCAGAGGAACGGAGAAUCACUUCACACUCUCCUCCCGCUUAUAUUCCACCGGUCUCGCAGCGUGGCCUAACAAGUCAAACACGUGUGCAUACUAGUAGUAGCUUGCCACUCCCUUUCUAUCCUGCAUUUCUCCUCCUGCACAGCCAGAGACCAGACAGGCACACACCCCCCCGCUCUACGAGUGCUCACGGUACCAGUAAGAAGGACAGGAGCAGGGAGGAGGGGAGAUCGAUGGCGAGCAGCGUGGGGGGAGAUGCCGGGGAAGGGGAGUGGCUCAAGGUCGCCGAGCUGAGGGCCAUGGCGGGAGCCCAGGACCCGCAUGUCAAGGAGGUGGACAACCUGACGCUCCGGAGGUUCCUGCGCGCGCGCGGCCACGACGUGGGCAAGGCCUCGGCGUUGCUGCUCAAGUUCGUGGCGUGGAGGCGGGAGGCCGUGCCGGGGGGCGUCGGCGCCGUCAUGCCGGCGGAGCUGGUGCGGGCGGAGCCGUCGCGAGAGUUGGCCUCCAUGGGCGGCGUCGACCGCGCGGGCCGCCCCGUCCUGCUCGCCUUCCCGGCCAAGCACUUCUCCGCCAACCGGGACAUGGCCGGCUUCAAGCGGCUUGUUGUGUACCUGCUGGACAGUGUCUGCGCGAGGAUCCCACGGGGGCAGGACAAGUUCAUCGUCGUCGUGGACCUCAAGGGGUGGGGGUACGCCAACUGCGACGUGCGCGCGUACGUGGCGGCCAUCGAGAUCAUGCAGAGCUACUACCCGGAGCGGCUGGGCAAGGCGCUCAUGGUGCACGUGCCCUACAUCUUCAUGAAGGCCUGGAAGAUGGUCUACCCCUUCAUCGACGCCAACACCAGGGACAAGUUCGUGUUCGUGGACAACAAGAGCCUGGAGGGGGCGCUGCGGCGGGAGAUGGAUGAGAGCCAGGUGCCGGAGAUGUACGGCGGGAAGCUGCCCAUUGCCCCCCUCACCGACGACUAG